UUCAAAGGCUGCGAGAAAAGCCGCGGCUGAAAACUCAGAAGGGUGUGUGGGGGGAUGGGGGGGUGCGGACGCUAGAAAACCACGGAGGUGUCUGUAUCGACGGGGAUUGACAAGACUACCCACGUGAGGGAAGGACGGCCUGUGAAGGGCUACACGAGGAGGAGGACGGGCACGUGGACAGACCUCUUGGUGGAAACGCCGUCAAAGCGUUUGGCAUGGCGGGGUGACACAGCGGCGAGCGACACCCCCGGCGAUCAGCUCCCACCGCUGUCCCCUAACCGUCAACCCGCAGCCCAACGGAUAAGCGGGGAACACUGUGGCGGCUCCUCGGGGAGCGCGGAGGCCAUUUGGGCGAAGUUACCUCGUGAUUGACAGGAGCCGACGAUAAAGAGAUGACCGGCGUCGAGGGACGGCGGCCCUCGUGAUGGAGUGCUCACGGGGAAGAGCGACUAUUGAAUCCUCUUUUUAAUCUGUCCGUCAAGGUUAUUGAAAGUGCCGUCUUCGUUAUUGCAUGCCAGCCUUGGACUAGGAGGGGCCAUAACUGUGAAUCCUGACGCCGUCGCUACUUCAUUUUAGCGCCGCGCCCGCCUCCCCUGUCGGUCCGGUCCAGGUUACACCGAGGGAGCGCCACUCCAAACCCCCCAACACCCUAUUUUUCAAUCAAUGUUCAUCAGCGAGUCUGGCAAUAAGUUGUCAAUGGGAUUCUCAUUAGGAUUCAAGUGUGCUUUUGAAUAAUAUUCUAUGGUACUGAAUCACAAUGACAGAUGACAAGUGGCAGUUGAGAGCUUGUCAUGAGUGCAUUUUAAUCAAAAGAGGGGAUGGAGUCAAGGCAGAAAUUGACGUGUGUCUCAAACCACUGAGCGCAUGUUCCUGUUUUGAUUAAUAAUCUUUAGGAGUUAAAAAAAAAAACAUUUCAAUAGGCAUAUGGCACUAAUUUUUGUGAAUACCCAAAAUCUGUACUCGUUUUUUUGGUCUCUUCCGAUUUCCACUAGUUUGUGCAAAGCAAACUUUUUGGAAGGGAAAAAAAAUAAAAACACCCUCCUUCCUGUUCAUUUGUAAUAUUCGAGCUGUGUGGAUUGCAUGACCAACCAAAUGGAACUAAAUGUAAUUAAGAUCUACUCAAGGUUAAUUUGGUCAGUAAUGGUAUUAAGUAUGUAUGAAGUAGGCUUUUUUCUAAAUACCAGUCCAUUAAAUCUGUGUUAUUAAAGAACAUACUGAAAUGAGACCAAGCAUAUACACAUUAAAAAUAAUUAGUUUGUUCUGUGUGUGUUUCUUGAGAGAAGGAGCAGAGUUUAACGAAGGUGCGAUUUUAAUGUUUAUUAUCACUAAUUGUCUCGUCAUUCAAACAUGUUUUCUUUCUCCACGAUUUCUUUUCCUCUUCAUUUUGCACAAAGCAAGAUAUU
Molecule: long non-coding RNA, 1403 nt
Organism: Gasterosteus aculeatus aculeatus (three-spined stickleback)
Lineage: Eukaryota; Metazoa; Chordata; Actinopteri; Perciformes; Gasterosteidae
Source: Ensembl